AGGCCGGGGGAGGGAGGAGGACGGGAGGCACCCCCGGUCCAGCAGGCAGCGGGCGGUCCCCCGGGCCCACCCAGCACUCCAAGGCCAGCCAGCUUGGCUCCAGCAGGGCGGGCCCCACAUCCGCCUGCCCCACCUGCAAGCGUCAGGGACCCCGACCCCGCGGCUCCUCCGGCCGCUCUUGAGAAAGGCAGAGGGCCUGGGGCAGCCAGCCUGGCCAAGCCUCGGUCCCCAGAGGUGUUGACCCCGGUUCUCACCAGGCUGCCCCUGAGGACUCAGGACAGCAAGCGGAUCAGACAAGGCCCUGCCCUCACGGAGCGCGGGGAAGAGGCCAAGGACACCAGAAAGCUCAGGCGUCAGGCCAAGGGAGGCCUGUCUCGGCAGGGUCCUCUCCGAGAACAAGAGCGGACCGCUCUCUUAGCGGGCUGGGGGCGAGCCCACAGGGUGAGAACCACCAGUGUGUGGGAGCGGGAAAGGUAUCCGAGCUGAGGGAAUGGCAGAUGCAAAGGCCCUGGAGCAGAAGAACCACGGUGUCUCGCUGCAGUCUCUCUCACCUCAAGCAGGGCCUGUCAGCUCUCACCCGAUAACCUGUCUGAGUCACUCCAUGACUGUCAUUCUGUCUCCUCUUCGCAAGUCGGCCUCGGCACCUCACGGCCCGUGGACAAACCUGGAAGCCCUUGCCUGGCCGUCGUUGGAGCCACGUGGCCCCAGGAGCGCCCGGGCUCAGCCCAGCCAAGACGUCCCCGAGCCUGGCUCAAGCUGCACACCGCCCACCUCCGCGUCCCCACACUCCCCCCCACCCCACCCCCGAGGGUGUCUUGCCCUGAGACCUGGGUGGGACCUCUCGUGUUCAGUGUCCAGAACUGGGCCUGGCUCACUGGGGAGAGAGCAAGGCGAACGCACGCAGACACACAGGCCUGACAAAGGCUCACAGCUGUUGACAGAAAGAGCCCGGGACACACCUAGAGGCGGCAGGAGAGACUUCACGCAGGCCCCUGCAGUGGGGAGAGACCCCACAAGGACUCCAGGGUUUAAAGGGAGAGCAGGAGUCUCCCGGUGGCUCAGCCAGUUAAGCAUCUGAGGCUGUCACUGCUGUGGCACAGUUUCGAUCCCUGGCUCAGAACUUCUUCAUGCCUCGAGUGCGGCCAAACAAUAAAUAAAUAAAGGGAUGACGUUUUCGUUG
RNAcentral lists this long non-coding RNA (1180 nucleotides) under Sus scrofa (pig). Its description in RNAcentral is "lncRNA (ENSSSCG00000044892.2)". Lineage: Eukaryota; Metazoa; Chordata; Mammalia; Artiodactyla; Suidae. The record is from RNAcentral.